Arachis ipaensis is the source of this 1047-nucleotide long non-coding RNA. RefSeq lists it as uncharacterized. Lineage: Eukaryota; Viridiplantae; Streptophyta; Magnoliopsida; Fabales; Fabaceae. The record is from RefSeq and is a predicted model, not a curated record.
CCCUCACCCAAAGCACUCACACUCAAUAACAAUGACACACACAGCAAAGAAGGAUAGAGCUGAGAAACGAGAGAUUCAGAGAGUGAGAAGAGAGCACGAGAAGAGAUCCAAGAGAGGGAGUGUGCCGCGCCGUCACCAAUCACCGUCGCGCACCACCACCGCCGUCAAGACGCCGAGCCACCACACAAGAAGAGGGAGACAUCGUCACUGCUGCCACCGUCGAGGGAGAGAGAGGGCACGUCGCGAGCCAGAGACGCCGCCAGGGAGAAGAGGAGCCGUUGCGCUCCACCGAUGACCAGCCGCCGUCGAGCUUCAAAGAGAGAGAGAAAGAGAUAGAACACAUGCAGGGAGAGAAGGCAUCGCGGGGUGGUUUCCGUCGCCGUUCUGCCGCCGCUGCUCUCGCCGCCAUCGCCCUCGGUUGAGCUCGCCGCCGCUGGCGGUGUCCGGCGUUGUACCCUUGCUGCCGAGUGUUACUGCUACUGUCACUUGAGCACAUGGCUACUGCUGUUGGGUUCACUGCAGAAAGGAGUCCGAGCAAGGAGAGGAAGAAGGUGGCCAUGGAGUCCUCCGCUGCUGCUGCUGCUAUCAACGUUACUGGAGUUUACAAUUGCUGCCGUCAUUGGUGAUGAACCGGAUUGUGUCCUCCCUGUUGGAUGACUGAAUUGGAGACGUUGCUAUUACCUUUCGUUUUGAGUCAUUAUUGUCAUUGUUCGGCGUUGCUGUCCCUGUCUAGAGCUAUUGAAUGUUUCUGCUACAAGAAUAUUACUAAAAUAGCUGCUGCUGCCACGAAUUGGGGAUAAAGGGAAUUCCUGCGUUAAAUCCUACUAUUGCAACAUCGAGAGGUACAGACAGGAUGGCUAGUUCAAGAGCUACAGACAUAGAAGGCUUGUUUGGCUAGUUGCUUUUGGGUUUAUUUCCCUCGCCCUUGAUGUUGUAGAGUGUUGUAUUUUUAGAGAGGGGUAGGUUUGUAUUUAAGUCUUGUAUGAAUAAUUAUUAUGUAUUAAUCUUAAUUAUGUGAGUAUAUGUUUAUCUGACAUAGUUGAGUUU